RNAcentral lists this ribosomal RNA (500 nucleotides) under uncultured bacterium. RNAcentral describes it as "partial 16S ribosomal RNA". It matches the Rfam family "Bacterial small subunit ribosomal RNA", at positions 28 to 506 of the family's 1533-position model. The record is from RNAcentral.
GACGAACGCUGGCGGCGUGCUUAACACAUGCAAGUCGAACGGUGAAGCACCUUCCUUUUGGUGGGUGUGGAUGAGUGGCGAACGGGUGAGUAACACGUGAGUAACCUGCCCCCUUCUUCUGGAUAACCGCAUGAAAGUGUGGCUAAUACGGGAUAUUCUGUGCCUGCUGCAUGGUGGGUGUGGGAAAGAUGCGCUUUUGGGUGUUUGUGGUGGGGGAUGGGCUCGCGGGCUAGCAGCUUGUGGGUGGGGGGGUGGCCUACCAAGGCGGUGACGGGUUGCCGGCCUGAGAGGGUGGACGGUCACACUGGGACUGGGACCAGGCCCCGACUCCUACGGGAGGCAGCAGUGGGGAUUAUUGCACAACGGGCGCAAGCCUGAUGCAGCGACGCCGCGUGAGGGAUGGAGGCCUUCGGGUUGUAAACCUCUUUCGCCAGUGAAGCAGGCCUGUCCCUUGUGGGUGGGUUGACGGUAGCUGGAUAAGAAGCGCCGGCUAACUACGU